CACCUGGGCCAUGUGUGUCCAGCCAGCACACUGGGCUUCGGGUUCCUGGCCCCUCGAUCUCAGCCGGGCAAAGCAGCGAUUCGGGUCUCAUGAUGUAGUCCAGCCUGGCAAUGAACUCUCUGCAAUCCUCCUGCCUCACCCUCCUGAGUGCUGAGGUUACAGGCGUGUGCCACCACGUCCAGCUGGACAGCUACUUUAAAAACAGCAUUUCCACUGAAUGGAGGGGAGGACACUCAGCUUUCCUUGGCAUGGCAGCUUCUAGCUCUGACACCUGGAACCUCCUCUUGAGGACACUGAAGUGGGAUUUUGGGGGAUGCCUGAUGCGCUGGUGCAGUGCUCCUGGAGUUCCCCACAGCUCCGGCUAGACCAGGGGUCACCCGCUCAAUGGCAGACAAGGAGGAAGCCACCUCCCAGUCCCAGCUUAUGCACCCCGGCUUAAGACAUCCCUCGGUGCCACCCCAGGUCCUGGCCAACAGGAAAACCCGAGUGGCCGGGAUGCAGAAGGGACAGGAAGGGCUCCACUUAGGACUGCAGGGGAAACACCAGAACUGCACAGUGUUUGCAAGAUGCCCUGGCCAGGUGCACUCCCUCCCAGGCUGCAGGGUCCAGCUUUGUCAGCUAUCUGGCAAACAAGGUGUGAUCUAGAUACGCAGAGAACGUUCAAAUUUUUUAAAUUUACUAUAGUAACACAUGGCCAUGUGUCUUCCCCACAACACAACCACUUACUUCAAACACACUCAUCCCAUCAUCCUGGCCACUUCCUGCAGCAGCUCUGGAGCCCUCUCUCCUGAGUGUCUUUAGUUGCAAUGCUCUGGCUGCCUCAACGUCCUGAAUGGAUUCAAAACAUUUCCUUUUCAUGGUCAUUUUGACUUUGGGGAAGAGCCAGAAGUCGCAUGGUGCCAGAUCCCAUGGACAGGUGGCUGAGGACACAGCGUCAAUUUUUUAUGAGCUACCUUUCUGUUGGAUGGCACCAGGCAGCAGUAUUCACCACAUUUUUUUUUAUUGUGCCUCGUAAAGACAUAGCAGGGGAAGAGGACAAAAUUCAUCAAUGUCAAUAUCAAUCCGUGUGGUCCCCAACUAAACUUUUCAGCUCAUCAUCUGUCAGCAUCGUGAUGUGCAGAGAAGACACAUCCAGCAGCCUUGGAGUCUGGGGUUUGGAUCUUUUCCCUGCUGGCGGCAGAAAGGACACUCCCCCGUCUGGAAGCUGGUGACCGUAGUGACCACAAUGAGGAGGGAUGUGGUGUGUGGUCCGCCUGGGCUCUGCUGCUGAGCCAGGAUGUGGGCGGGCGGGUGGACAGGCUGAGUGUGUUCUUGACUUGUGACAUUUUCAAGGCACAGUGAGCUUACGGGGCUGGGACCCGCGGCCCACGCAGGAGCGCCUGUGUGUGUUGCUCAAUACACUGCAGGGGCUGCAGGGUGGACACAGUGUUCAGGGAGACCAUGAGCCUGCUGGGAUUUCUGACUGCCUAGGAUCUCUGACUCCCACACUUUCCAAAUGGCUGGGACUGGGUCCCGAUGUCUGCUGGAUGCAAUUGAAAAUGGUAAAGAACGGGCUUGAUUCCCUAUGUGAAUGAU
Molecule: long non-coding RNA, 1575 nt
Organism: Heterocephalus glaber (naked mole-rat)
Lineage: Eukaryota; Metazoa; Chordata; Mammalia; Rodentia; Bathyergidae
Source: RefSeq, a predicted model, not a curated record